This 253-nucleotide ribosomal RNA is filed under the name uncultured bacterium. Its description in RNAcentral is "partial 16S ribosomal RNA". It matches the Rfam family "Bacterial small subunit ribosomal RNA", at positions 524 to 776 of the family's 1533-position model. The record is from RNAcentral.
UACGGAGGGUGCAAGCGUUAUCCGGAAUCAUUGGGUUUAAAGGGCCCGCAGGCGGACUUAUAAGUCAGUGGUGAAAGCCUACAGCUCAACUGUAGAACUGCCAUUGAUACUGUAAGUCUUGAAUUCGGUCGAAGUGGGCGGAAUAUGACAUGUAGCGGUGAAAUGCUUAGAUAUGUCAUAGAACACCGAUAGCGAAGGCAGCUCACUAGGCCUGGAUUGACGCUCAGGGACGAAAGCGUGGGGAGCAAACAGG